This 256-nucleotide ribosomal RNA is filed under the name uncultured bacterium. Its description in RNAcentral is "partial 16S ribosomal RNA". It matches the Rfam family "Bacterial small subunit ribosomal RNA", at positions 524 to 776 of the family's 1533-position model. The record is from RNAcentral.
UACGGGGGUGCGAGCGUUGUCCGGAAUCACUGGGCGUAAAGGGCGCGUAGGUGGCUUUGUAAGUUUGCGGUGAAAGCCCGGGGACUCACCCCGGGUCUGCCGUGGAUACUGCAAGGCUUGAGUACUGUAGAGGCAGGUAGAAUGAUCGGGUGUAGCGGUGGGAAUGCGUAGAGAUCCGAUAGAAGACCGGUGGCGAAGGCGGCCUGCUGGGCAGUAACUGACACUGAGGCGCGAACACGUGGGGGAGCAAAACAGG